CCGAAGACGGUGCGCUAACCUGAGCAAUCAGGGGGCAGCCGGCCACGGUAAGGUCAGCGACUGGGGUGAAGUCGUAACAAGGUAGCCGUAGGUGAACCUGCAGAAGGAUCA
RNAcentral lists this ribosomal RNA (111 nucleotides) under uncultured eukaryote. RNAcentral's name for it is "partial small subunit ribosomal RNA". It matches the Rfam family "Bacterial small subunit ribosomal RNA", at positions 1421 to 1525 of the family's 1533-position model. The record is from RNAcentral.